This 331-nucleotide unclassified non-coding RNA is filed under the name soil metagenome. RNAcentral describes it as "partial contains 5.8S ribosomal RNA, internal transcribed spacer 2, and large subunit ribosomal RNA". The stretch from base 1 to 120 matches the Rfam family "5.8S ribosomal RNA", at positions 35 to 154 of the family's 154-position model. The record is from RNAcentral.
GAUGAAGAACGUAGCGAAAUGCGAUACGUAAUGUGAAUUGCAGAAUUCAGUGAAUCAUCGAGUCUUUGAACGCACAUUGCGCCCCCUGGUAUUCCGGGGGGCAUGCCUGUUCGAGCGUCAUUUCACCACUCAAGCCUCGCUUGGUAUUGGGCAACGCGGUCCGCCGCGUGCCUCAAAUCGACCGGCUGGGUCUUCUGUCCCCUAAGCGUUGUGGAACCUAUUCGCUAAAGGGUGUUCGGGAGGCUACGCCGUAAAACAACCCCAUUUCUAAGGUUGACCUCGGAUCAGGUAGGGAUACCCGCUGAACUUAAGCAUAUCAAUAAGCGGAGGA